Molecule: long non-coding RNA, 1093 nt
Filed under: Heterocephalus glaber (naked mole-rat)
Lineage: Eukaryota; Metazoa; Chordata; Mammalia; Rodentia; Bathyergidae
Description: lncRNA (ENSHGLG00000045052.1)
Source: RNAcentral
CUCACAGGGCACGAAAAGCCAAUUGGAGAGGGAGCAGAAUCCUAUCAAUAUCAAAGCAAGGGACCCCACCCACCCAACAAAAAGACCUCAUACCUGUAUUUGAUAAGAAGGGAGAGGAAAGGAGCAAGGUGAAAGAACUUUGGCCUAGAAAUCCUAUGAAAUAGCCUUAAGACUCCCUCUAGGUCACAUCUUGAUGUUGGCCAAGCCAUGUCCCUUCUCUGGGCCUGACUAGGCCAUCACCAGUGAGGGUACCGGUGACAUCUGGGGAAUUUGACCCUAGAUCUUUAUGAUGACAUAGAUAAGUUUUCUCCCUCUACCUCGUUCACCAUGGCAUCAAAACAGUGAACCAUUCCAAGCUAGUGUUUCUGAAAAUAUGACCUUCAAAAUUGAGAAUGUCUCAAGAGUCAGGCAUUUUGUGCAAACAGAAAAGGAAGGUGAAGUACCAUAGUAAAGAUUAGCUUUGCUCCACGUGAGGCAGAAAACUGUGUUUCUAGUCAGCUGAUGGGAGUCAGGAGAAAGGGGAGAAGAAAGACUGGCUGCAGGAAGAAAGGGAGGAGAAGAGAAGUAAAUAAAAGAGGGAAGAGAGGGAUGGAGGCAGAAGAGGGACAGUGGCUUGGAGUGAGGAGAAGUGAAGUGGUUCACUAGAAGAGAACCAAAAAGACAGAGGAAAGAGGGAAGUGAAAAUGGCCUCGCCCUCAGCUUCUGCUUCUGGGGCCCUCUGCCUCCAGCCUCCCCGCUCACCCAGCUCUACUCUGGGCCAAGAGCAGCUGGGGUCCCUCCUUCCAUGGUGCCAGGUGAGGACAGUGCUCUGCAGGCACCUGGGGGCAGUUUGGAGCCUAAUCCUGGCUGGGAUCCUGGGACUGUGGCACGGGGACCCUCCUGCUCCUUGAACACCAUUCGGGCCUAGCCUCCACUCCAGACACUUUCCGUGCAACUUGACCAGAACAAAUCCACACCUGUCACCCACCACCAGGAGCUUCCACCCUUCGAUUCCCUCCUGGGAACUUCACAUAGGCCUGAUAUGCUUUCUCUGCACCAAAGCCUCCCUCUUAGGUGGCUCAGUUAGCACCAGGACUCAGCUGUGCCGCUCAUC